RNAcentral lists this ribosomal RNA (497 nucleotides) under uncultured bacterium. RNAcentral describes it as "partial 16S ribosomal RNA". It matches the Rfam family "Bacterial small subunit ribosomal RNA", at positions 28 to 507 of the family's 1533-position model. The record is from RNAcentral.
GAUGAACGCUGGCGGCGUGCCUAAUACAUGCAAGUCGAGCGAACAGACGCGGAGUUUGCUCCUCUGACGUUAGCCGCGGACGUGUGAGUCACACGUGUAUAACCUCCCUAUAAGACUGGUAUCACUUCGGGAAACCGGAGCUAAUCCCGGAUAAUCUCUUGCACCGCAUGGUUCAUUAGUGAAAGUCGGUUUUGCUGUCACUUAUAGAUGCAUCUGCGCUGCAUUAGCUAGUUGUUACGUUAACGGCUUACCAAGGCAACGAUGCGUAACCGAGCUGAUAGGGUGAUCGGCGACACUGGAACUGAGACACGGUCCAGACGACUAAGGGAGGCAGCAGUAGGGAAUCUUCCGCAAUGGGCGAAAGCAUGACGGAGCAACGCGGAGUGAGUGAUGAAGGUCUUCGGAUCGUAAAAAUCUGUUAUUAGGGAAGAACAAAUGUGUAAGUAACUGUGCACGGCUUGACGGUAACUAAUAAGAAAGCAACGGCUAACUACGUG